UCGACGUGCUUAAUUAAUAAAUUAAUGAAUAAAUAAAUGAAUAGGAAUUCUAGAUAGCCAAUAAAUGGUGUAGAGCCAAAUUAUAAUGGGCCUAAUUAACACUACAAUCUACAAGCCCAAAUAAGAAGGAUGGCUAGAUUGUUAAGAAAAAGGGAAGGAUUAAGUUGUAUAUUAAACCAUGGUAAGAAGACAAAAAUUAGAAGGAAUGAAUAUGUUGAAUGGUUUAAGCAAGGGACUAAAGUGGCACAUUUGCCUAACAUUGCAUAUGAAAUACGUGAUGAAGAUGUUGAAUCCAGAAGCAAAAAUUUUACUUCAGCUUUUGAUGAAAUAUUCGGUCACUUGGGGUUUCUUCAUCUUAAGAUCGUUUUUGACGAUUCUUUCACCGAUUUUUCAAGCAUUCGAUCCUCUAUCAUCCUAAGACUUCAAUUCAAGAUCUUACGCGCUAUUGGAUUGGAGAAAUAGAAGAUUUGGAGGAAUUAACAACGGGAUAUUUUAUUUUUCUUUUAAAAUUUGGAAAUUUGGAUUAAGCGGUCGAGUGUUUUCUUUCAGGAUUAAUAUUUGAUGAUGUGGUCGAGCUUCCAACCAUUGUUCCGGAAGUCUCAAUUAUGGGGAGUCUUAUUCUUCUUAGAGCUGCAGUAGUCAAAAUAGUAGAGUUAGCUAGUAGCAAACAAUUUAUGUUUAUUUUAUGCCAUGACAUAAUGAUGUAUUUUGGGAAAAUGAAUUAUCCAGGAAUUUAAUAUAUGGUUAAUUGGUAUUUUAUACAAA
This is a long non-coding RNA of Mercurialis annua (annual mercury), 765 nucleotides long. RefSeq lists it as uncharacterized. The transcript is spliced from 3 exons. The record is from RefSeq and is a predicted model, not a curated record. Lineage: Eukaryota; Viridiplantae; Streptophyta; Magnoliopsida; Malpighiales; Euphorbiaceae.